AUGGCCGAGCUGCCCAUCACCUAUCUUGGCAUUCCACUUACGCUGCGACGCCCCUCCGCCACCCAGUUACAGCCCCUCGUCGAUUCCGUGGCUGCUAGGCUCCCUGCAUGGAAGGCAUGGCUCAUGAACAAGGCCGGAAGACUAGCACUGGUCAAAUCGGUGCUCUCAGCCAUCCCGGUCCACCAAAUGCUUGCAUUUGCCCCACCCAAGAAGACGCUCAAGCAGCUGGAAAAGAUCCAACGAGGCUUCCUAUGGGCUGGACGCGCAACAGCCAACGGUGGACACUGCCAUGUCAACCGGCGCCAUGUGUGCCGGCCGUUGGAGCACGGCGGCUUGGGGAUUCGGGACCUGGAGCGUGCCGGCCUAGCGCUGAGGCUGCGAUGGCUAUGGUACGCGCACACGGACGACGACCGCGCUUGGCAAGGGCUCGACCUCCAAUUCUCUAGAGAGGAGCGCGCGCUAUUCGUCGCCUCCACCACCAUGGUCCUUGGGGAUGGAGCGACGGCCCUGUUCUGGGAAGAUCGAUGGCUACAUGGACAGUAA
This 543-nucleotide ribosomal RNA is filed under the name Triticum aestivum (bread wheat). Its description in RNAcentral is "partial small subunit ribosomal RNA". The record is from RNAcentral. Lineage: Eukaryota; Viridiplantae; Streptophyta; Magnoliopsida; Poales; Poaceae.